AUCCUUUGGCACAAGAGGAGAGAGGAUAUCUGCCGUCGCACUGAUCCCAGCACAGAUUCAGAAGCACUUAUGGACGCGGUCCUCUCGCGGGCCCCUCCAGGGCGCUGCGUGUGUGGAGUGAUUCUUACCGGGCCAGGAGGGACAGGUCUUCCUCUAAAAUGCUCUGGUUCAGCACCUCCUGAAAAUCUGAAUGGCUUGUUUUGUUUUCUGAUGCAGGCAGCACAAAAACGUGAAAAGUGAGUUUCUUAUUAUGUCCCCUUUAACUUUUCAUACCUAACUAUUGACAUCCCCAUCAGCUGCAGCUCCACAGAAUGUUUAUACUAUAGCAAAUGACAGCAUGUUAACAUACUAA
This is a long non-coding RNA of Pseudoliparis swirei, 352 nucleotides long. RefSeq lists it as uncharacterized. Lineage: Eukaryota; Metazoa; Chordata; Actinopteri; Perciformes; Liparidae. The record is from RefSeq and is a predicted model, not a curated record. The transcript is spliced from 3 exons.